This 2057-nucleotide ribosomal RNA is filed under the name Triticum aestivum (bread wheat). RNAcentral describes it as "partial small subunit ribosomal RNA". The record is from RNAcentral. Lineage: Eukaryota; Viridiplantae; Streptophyta; Magnoliopsida; Poales; Poaceae.
GUAAGGGGGGUGGGGGUGGGGUGGUGAGGGGUGAUACUAAAUCGCCGACCGUAGGCCGCUACGCCCCCACCGCGCUGACGGCAUCGAUCCGACGCCCCUCCCGCCAACGGUCGCUCGUGGUCCGACGCUGGGUUGUCCUACCGCUGCUGACGGCCGGCCGCUACACCCCCUACCGCGCUCACGCCACAGAUCCGUAGCCCCUCCCGCCGUCGGCCGUCCGUGGACUGACGCCGGGUCGUCCUACCGCCGCCGGCUGUCUCCGGCGGGCACUCGUGCGCAGCAGCCCUUCGAGGUGCCGUCGAGCAGGCGUAGACCAACAAGACGUAGAGCCCGGCCAAGGCUGCUCGUACCUCGGUGGUGACCGGGGACGUGGAGGUACAGAGGUCGGUGGGCGGCCAGCGGGAGGAGGAGUCGAGACGACGGCGGUCGCGAACGCAGCAGCCUCGCUUCUCACCCCCCAGGAACCGAGCGGCCGCGGCGGGUUGGUGGUGCCCGCGCUUCUACCACAUGACGACGAGCUCUAUACCUGGGCACCUCUCUUUGCGCGAAGUGGCCGGUAUAGGCUCCGAAGAGGAGAUUCACGAUGUAACUGCCAAACGGAGGCCAUGACUUAGAAGUCGCCGUUCCUCAAACUCAAGCACCCCGAGCGCGAGUCGAGGCUAUAAUCCCUUUCCAUGGUUAGCGAUACCAAGUUUUGUUUACCAACACGGACAAUGGAUUAGUCUAGUCCGAGACUGACUUCGAUGAGGUCAUACGGGGUACAACACAAAUGAGUUGUAGUGUUGUUCAUAAAACAGAUACGUAGUACUGUAAAAGACAAAAAAUAUGUGUUUAAACGGUACAAAAAAAAUACGAAAAACGGUACUGUGUCUCUAGUAAAAGUGAUUUUUAAAGGUAUAGUGAUCGGGGAUAGUAUCAGUAUUCAAGGUGUGACAUCCGUUAACAUCUAAUUCUUCCCAACCGUUUAUUAACUUGUUCGUAUAGAUACAAAGUAUUUUGUACCGUUGAAAACUUAGAGAUUAAGGAUGGGAAAGCAAAAUCAUUCUGGUAAACGGUACCGUUUGAAAGUAGUUAACUGUACCGUUUAAAUGUUAAAAGUAAUGGAUGGUAAAAGACCAAAAUCAUUUAUCAACGGUACCUUUAAUAACUUUACUUAAACUAUGCUUAAAGGUAUGUGGUACCGUUUAAAGUAUGUUUCCUACCGUAAAAGUUAAUUUUGUGGUACCGUUUAAAUGUAUAGGUAAACGGUACCUUUAAACAAGUAUUAAUAACACAAUUAAAUGUAUGAGCCAUUAAAAGAGUAAGUUUUGGUACCGUAAAAAUUAACCUUAUGGUACAGUUUUAAAUUAUGUUUAGACGGUACCUUUGAUCUUCGAAUACGACGGUACAAACAAAACGAUUAAAUCAUGUACAAAAAAAUUAUCUUCGAAACAUCCACACACGGUACCGUUCAACUUCGAAUCCAAAGGUACUGCUGUUGUAAACACAACACAGAAAAAACGGGAUAGAUAGACUUCUCACAAAGGUACCGUUAAUGUAAAAAACAAACUCUUGUACCGUUGAAACUAGAAGAUUGAACUGUUUAUACGGUAGAAGUUUUGUACUGCGAAGAAAAGAAAACUUUUGUACCGUGGUACCGUUGAAACGGUACAAGUCUUUGUACCAUUUGUAACGAGAUAUACUGUUGUAAGUACACUAAACGGUACCGUGAAGAAAUAGACUUUUGUACUGUUUGAACGGUACAAGUUUUUCAACGGUACCGUUGAAAAGAAAAUUACUGUACAGUUUAAAAUGAAUUAAAAAACUGUACCGUUUAAAUAACAUAUAUAGUACCGUUAAAAUUAAAUUUGAUCACUCGAACGUGCACGUUACGUGCAAAACCAUCUUUAAGUAAUCUUUUAUUAUAAAUUUAUACUUUGAAUGAAGGAGGCAGGGUAUUACAUUCUGCAAAAAACCGUGGUCACAUCACAGUUUUUUGUAGAAUGUAAUACCCUGCCUCCCUCAUGUAAAAAUCAAAUGUAUAUCGCUAUAGAAUGUACUCGUUACCAAAUGGCAUG